RNAcentral lists this long non-coding RNA (829 nucleotides) under Gallus gallus (chicken). Its description in RNAcentral is "long non-coding RNA NONGGAT009364". The record is from RNAcentral. Lineage: Eukaryota; Metazoa; Chordata; Aves; Galliformes; Phasianidae.
GGUGGAGGAGGGAUGUGGUGAAGCCCUGCAAGUAGGUACUGAAUGUGUUUUACAAUCCACAGCAUGUUCACAUGGCGGGGAUGGAGGUGCUGGAGCAGAUGAUGUGAUAGCUCUUAAUGCAACGCAGAGCGUGUGCAUGUGGCUGGAUGGUGGAAAGCACAAGAGCUGAUAAACGCUUUGAAAUGCUGCAGAAAACCACGGUGGAAAAGAAGAUUGGAUUGAUGUGAGGAGUAGAAGGCAGUCCUGGGCUAUUUUGUGAUGUGCUGCCAAAGAGUUAAACGACCCUUAUGAAAGAAAGAAAUACAGCUGGACUGGUGCCGGAGAAAAAGGAGGAAUUAGAAGCAAGCAGAGAACACGCGCUGCUCCUGGAGACUAACAAAAUAACGCCUGGUCCUGCUCCAAGGAGGCUUCUGAGCACUAGGCAAAGGCAAACAGGCACCAGACCUCAGUAAAAAUGCUGUUAGUGCUCUGCUUGGGUGACUCUGCAGCAGUUCAGCUGGAAGCAAUGCUGAACUUUCAACUCUGUGACUGUCUGCAUGGGAGAACCAAGCAGGAGGAAAGGCAGAAGAACCUUCGUGUAUUUAACCUCUGCCGACACACUCUUAAAUCACUGAUUUAAAAAGAACUCAGCAUCGUGGAAAUGAAUUAUGAAUGCUGUUUUCAAAACACAGCUCUAUCCUGUUGAUCAGUCCUCAAGACAAAGACUUUCAAUGCCUUAUUAAUUUUUCCUUGCUAAUUCAAUACCGCAAGAUUGUCAUGAUAAUUAGUUGUCUGAGCAAGGUUGUCAUGAUAAUUAGUUGCCUGAGUAGGCUAUGUACCUUCUUAUCAC